AGGUUAUAUGGCAAAGAGGAAUUAAGGUUGCGGAUGGAGUUAAGGUUUGUUUGUCAGCUGAUUUUGAGAUGGGGAGAUUAUCCUGGGUUAUCCAGAUGGGCCCAAUGUAAUCAAGGGUCCUGAAAAGUGGGAGAAGAAGGCAGAAGAGUCAGAGAGAGUAUGUGAUGUGAGAAAAACUCAACCAGCCAUUACUGGCUCUAAAGAUGGAGGGAGGGGCCACGAGCCAAGGAACGGAGGCAGCCUCUAGAAGCUGGAAAAGGCCAGGACAAGGAUUCUCCCCUCCGACUUCUAGGAAGAAAUGCAGCCCUACCAACACUUUGAUUUUAGCCCCAGGAAGCCCAUCUUGGACUCUUGAUCUCCAGAACUGUAAGGAGAAAAUCGAAGCUCCAAGAGGCUAAAUAAUUGCUGAAGUCACAUGGUCAAUAAUUGAGGGGUCCAGGACCUGUGCCCAGGCAAGUUUGCUCCACAGUCGGUGUUCCUGGACGCUGUACUCUGAUACUUGGAAUUUUCUGGAAAACCUGCCCUUAAUCUUAGUGCGACUCAGAGACGCUGGUCAAUGAUGAAUUUGAUGACUGCUGCAAGGGCCUCUCUGUGUCUGGAGAUGAGUCAGGGGAGCACCUCACCAGGAUCAAAGGACCAUUGGGGCAGAAAAGAAGCUUGGAUUUUCUCCGUUAUGGUUAAAUUUCAUUAGUAUAUUGUCUCUGAUUGAAGAUGUGUAAUAGUGAUGAAUGGCAGAAAUGCAGUAUUCUGAAAACUCCAUAAAAUCGGUUUUAGGAAAAAAAAAAAGAUUGCUACCUGAAGUAAACACAGCACUAGUGGCUUAUCUGGAAGAACUGGGUUCCACUAAAUUUAUCCUUCCCCAAUUAAUGAGAAAUCCUCUAAUAACAUUAAUUAAUAUUAACAAUUCUGAUUAUGCCAAUAGAUCAUACAUUUAUUCAAUCAGCAAACCUUUCUUGUACACAGUUUAUGCCCAGUAUCAUGCCAGGUGUGGGGAGACACUGAUUAAUGAGAUAGUGUCUCUGCUCAUAAUGAGGUCACACUGAGGAACUCUCCAGGAGAGAAGCAGCACGAUGUGGUCAGUAUGAAGGACGCGGAGAGCAGCUGACCCCUCAGAGAGGACAGCCUCAGGGGAAAGGUGAUGUUUUUGCUGCCCUUUAGAGAAUUCCUCUGAAAGGAUGAGCGGCAAAGCUAGGGUGCUGGAUGCUCUCCAUUUGCUCCUCCAUAUCCCUCCACCUCACGCCUCCACGGUGCUGCGCCUUCUCUGGCUGACCUUUAUGGACUGUUUCAACUUGCUCCUUUGUCCCCAGGCUUCCAACUGAAUCUGUGCAAUGGGAGGUACUGGGAGCAGAUCAUAGCCUGGGAGGGGAAUGAGGUUUGACUCUUUACUCCUGUGGUUUCCUGCCUGCUGAACUGUGGGUUGACAGUGAUGUGGUGCUUCACUGAAGGUCACUGCUUCUUACGGGUGACCCUUUUCUAUACCUACAGCUCUCUCUCUUUGGGUUCUCAAGCAGCUCUCUCCCCUUGGAUUAUGCCUAUGUUUGAUCAUAGGUCCUUGCAGUUGCUAAAUUCUGAGUCUAAAACAUUCCUUUUGGUUUUAUUUUGACCUUGCACACAUCAUUAUAAAUAUCCCAGCUCAGCGUGAUGUCUAAUUCCUCUUGGGACACUGACUGACUUAGCAAGUACAUACCGUGUCUCUGAAAGGUACAGCUUACACAAAGUGGUGGUUCACUGAUUUCCUCCGAAAGGCGUGUCCUCUGACUGCGUCCAUCUUAAAGUCUCUGGCGUGCUUAGUCCUGCACUCGACACCACCCACGACUUGGGGUCUCAAAGAAGGUCAUAUGUCAUCAUUCAACUUCCGUGGACCAUCUGCUUCCAGAAUUCCUCGGAGAAGCUCAGUUUAAGAUCUCCAAUUGCUGUGCCUAAAGAAGUUAAGGAUACUUUGUUUCCACAGCAGUCUGAAGUCAUGAGCUCUUCUGAAAGCAUAUAGGCUAAUUCCUCCAGUAAAAAAAGAUUAGAAAUGUAUCUUUUAUAUAUCAAAAUAUCUCCAUAAUGGCUCUUGCAAUUCCAAGUCUUCCUUAAUGAACUGUUGCCAGUUAUCAGGGUAGUCACAGGAUUACUUUGAGAAGACGUGUAGGAAGCAGAUGUUCUGUUGGAGGAGGUUGUGGCUUUGAUGCAGACAAAUUCACGAUGAACACAAAUGAGGCUAUACGCUGUUGAAAGUCUAAACUGGUGAGUGCUGUCUUGGAUCUUUGAAGAAUACAAGUUAGGAAGAAGCCAUAUGAUACACAACGUGACAAACUGACUUCAGAAUAUGUAGUUAGCAAAGUGAUCUUCUUUCAUAAAUUGAUAAGGCAAGGAAUGUCCCCACAUAGACUUGGUUGAUGGUGUGGGUGGCAAAAGAGACCCAAGCAUUACUGACCAGUCACCUUUGCACAAAUUGGUUGUCAUUCUUGCAGACCGCCAAAUAUCAGUCCAUGGGAUUCACUUGAUUGGAGGGUUAUUUGCCCUAAGCCCCCAUCUCCCCUUAUGGGGCAAUCUCUU
Molecule: long non-coding RNA, 2541 nt
Organism: Equus caballus (horse)
Lineage: Eukaryota; Metazoa; Chordata; Mammalia; Perissodactyla; Equidae
Source: Ensembl